This 490-nucleotide ribosomal RNA is filed under the name uncultured bacterium. Its description in RNAcentral is "partial 16S ribosomal RNA". It matches the Rfam family "Bacterial small subunit ribosomal RNA", at positions 30 to 507 of the family's 1533-position model. The record is from RNAcentral.
AUUGAACGCUGGCGGCAGGCCUAACACAUGCAAGUCGAACGGUAACAGGAAGCAGCUUGCUGCUUUGCUGACGAGUGGCGGAUGGGUGAGUAAUGUCUGGGAAACUGCCUGAUGGAGGGGGAUAACUACUGGAAACGGUAGCUAAUACCGCAUAACGUCGCAAGACCAAAGAGGGGGACCUUCGGGCCUCUUGCCAUCGGAUGUGCCCAGAUGGUAUUAGCUAGUAGGUGGGGUAACGGCUCACCUAGGCGACGAUCCCUAGCUGGUCUGAGAGGGUGACCAGCCACCUUGGAACUGAGCAACGUCCCAGACUCCGACGAGAGGCACCCGGCUGAAAUAUUGGCCAAUGGGCGCAAGCCCGAUGUAGCCAUGCCGCGUGUAUGACGAAGGCCUUCGGGUUGGAAAGUACUUUCAGCGGGGAGGAAGGGAGUAAAGUUAAUACCUUUACUCAUUGACGUUACCCGCAGAAGAAGCACCGGCUAACUCCGUG